Long non-coding RNA from Panicum virgatum (switchgrass), 773 nucleotides. RefSeq lists it as uncharacterized. The transcript is spliced from 2 exons. The record is from RefSeq and is a predicted model, not a curated record. NCBI's taxonomy places the organism in Eukaryota, Viridiplantae, Streptophyta, Magnoliopsida, Poales, Poaceae.
AUUUGGAUGAAAACAGGCUGAGCAAGCUGGUGGGCUGGUUUGGUUCAAGCUAUUAUUUGGAAUAGUUCAAUUUGGUUUGAUUUUAGGCUGCUUGUUUCGGUUUGCUAAUGGGCUGAACCCCACAGUUGCAACCUAGAGUCCCCAAGCCACGGUUCAGGCUGCUGGCUGCUUCCAUCGACCAAAUCCCACCUGCGCCUCCUCCCGAGUCCAGGUCCGACCCGGCCCCUCCUCUCCACCCGGCCCGGCGCGCGGCGGCGACCAGGCUCCGCCGCUGCCGCCCCCCGCGUGGCCGCGUACCUCCUGCGGCUGACUCCGCCCCGUCAAUCAGUCCCUCCGUGCGGCGCCCGCAGGCGAGGAUUUCGUCUCCCGCCUCCCGCGUCGGUUCGGGGUGGGGGGAUGGGGGUCGGAGGCUCGCGGGGUGAUCUUCGGCGGUUGGUGCGGCGGGGAUGGGGGAGCGCGGGAGUGGAAUUGCUUGCUGUGUCUCGCGGGCCAGUGCGGGGUCGAGGAGGGUGAGGGCUCCAUUCCCGCAUAUCUUGAAGCAGUACCUGGGAAAGCUCUACUCCAUUCCCGCAGGAGAAAUUCAGCGUUGCAGGGUGUUCAUGUCGUGUGGACUCCCCAGCAACAGAACGACCUGCAGACAGAGUAUUCAGUGUUCCCCAGUGACUUCUCAUGGAUCCUAACUCCUUUCUGAGUUGUUCCGGAUGGGCUGGUGGGUUGGGAAAUGGGUUUUAAUGGGUUGAGCCUGCAGAUAUUUUAUUUGGUUUGGUUUGGUU